RNAcentral lists this transfer RNA (94 nucleotides) under Muiribacterium halophilum (SeqCode). Its description in RNAcentral is "bacterium BM706 tRNA-Ser". It matches the Rfam family "tRNA". From Rfam's summary of the family: Transfer RNA (tRNA) molecules are approximately 80 nucleotides in length. Lineage: Bacteria; Candidatus Muiribacteriota; Muiribacteriia (SeqCode); Muiribacteriaceae (SeqCode). The record is from RNAcentral.
GGAGAGAUGGCUGAGUCCGGUUGAAAGCGCUCGACUCGAAAUCGAGUAGACGAUGAAAAUCGUCUCGAGAGUUCGAAUCUCUCUCUCUCCGCCA